Long non-coding RNA from Onychomys torridus (southern grasshopper mouse), 1536 nucleotides. RefSeq lists it as uncharacterized. The record is from RefSeq and is a predicted model, not a curated record. NCBI's taxonomy places the organism in Eukaryota, Metazoa, Chordata, Mammalia, Rodentia, Cricetidae. The transcript has 8 exons.
CAGAACCCAGGAACAUAAAUAAACCUGCAUGGAGCUGCCUCACUCUCUAAAGAAGCCCACUGAUUGUCAGCUUUGUGCUCAUGGUGAUACAGGACAAUGACUUGCCUCCACCUCUGCUGAGUCUCUCACACACUCUGUGGGACUGUUCAAUGUGCUAGGCAACCUUGUCCGGGGAGGAGCACCUAUCCAUCCGUAAAUGGUCUCUAUAUCUGCCUUGGCUGGAGGAAGGGAAGCAAACCACCAUCUCUGGAAGUGACGUGGAGGCGUGGCUGAGCUCACUAGGGCUGCCUAGCACUUCUGUGCACCAGCAGUGGUUCCUGCUAUCUGAAGCUCUGACUGUGGGUGAGACUGUAGGCUCCUAGUCACCAGAGGAACCCACCUAGGGUGAAGUGUUUGCUUUAGCCUUGGCAAGCACCAGAGUGCAGGCAGAAAAUGAGCAGCUGUGCUUUUCGGUUUUAAGGAUGUGGUGUGAAGGAAGCGCCAGGGAUGACGUCGUGUCCUACUUUGACCAGGGAGGGCUCUGUCUGCCAAGGCACUGUCUUUCCCAGCACAUGCUCCAUCUCUGAGGAAGAUGGCGGUCAAGGUGAUCUUGAAGUUGUUGGAAAAUAAGACAAGAAAUACUUCUCCUGAAAGGGCUUCAGGGAACCAAGAGCCAAGUACAUUACAGAAUCAGACAGGACCCAGGGAACAUAGAAUCCUUUCUGGGAAAUCACCUGACCAGAACCUCAAAAGAAGAUGAGCUGAGCCGACACUAAGGAGAGGAGUCAUUGAUCCGGGGACACGAGUCUGAUGACAAGAUCACAACGAGCUGUGUCACACAACACUAUUGCCAAAGAUGAGCCCCCAUGCAGAGACACAGUGGCACUGCUGGCUGGUGGCCUUCAGUUAAGGUCACUUGUCAGCUCUCCAGCACUCCCAGAAUGGCUCAAGUUAUGAAGCAUGAGAAACUUGGUCUAGGAAUUAAAGAAUCCUCGUCAAAGGCAGACACUAGGAGCCCAGGGUUUUGCUUUGCUCCCUGCCAAGUGGGAGGACAAAGAGCACCAGGGAUGAACAGCUGCAGUUGGUCGGUCCAGUGUUUGCCAAGGUUAGCAUUCCCAAACUGUCUCCAGCAGAAACGCUCAUUUCUGAUGUUCUACAGUUGUUUUCCUUAAAAGAAAUACUUUAAUAUAUUUAGUUUAAAUUGCAUGAUGGCAAUUAUGCUUCUAAGUCUGAUUAAGUGGCCCGAUAGAAGUCUUUGCUUCCAUAAGGGGAUAUUUGUUGUUCAAUAGAUGAUUCUAAUUUUGUGUGGUGGGAGGAUUCAUAUUGUAAGCAUUGAGACUGACUUUUCCCCCAUUAGUUAUUUAUAAAGCUCUUAUUAGGCUGGUUCAAUGUACAAAGGGGAAAAAGAUAAGUUAUUGUUAAUCAAUUUCUAAUCUAUUUAUUACGGAGCUGAUAGAAAAUGAAGCUCACUGUGGGGAUUGUUAUUCAGAUUGCAGAUCAUUCCAAUGCCAUGUAUCAUGUCAAUUAAUAAAUAGAACAUUUAACUUUUUAUAAUUA